Molecule: ribosomal RNA, 497 nt
Filed under: uncultured bacterium
Lineage: Bacteria
Description: partial 16S ribosomal RNA
Rfam family: Bacterial small subunit ribosomal RNA
Source: RNAcentral
GAUGAACGCUGGCGGCGUACCUAAUACAUGCGAGUCGAGCGAACAGACGAGGAGCUUGCUCCUCUGACGUUAGCGGCGGACGGGUGAGUAACACGUGGAUAACCUACCUAUAAGACUGGGAUAACUUCGGGAAACCGGAGCUAAUACCGGAUAAUAUAUUGAACCGCAUGGUUCAAUAGUGAAAGACGGUUUUGCUGUCACUUAUAGAUGGAUCCGCGCCGCAUUAGCUAGUUGGUAAGGUAACGGCUUACCAAGGCAACGAUGCGUAGCCGACCUGAGAGGGUGAUCGGCCACACUGGAACUGAGACACGGUCCAGACUCCUACGGGAGGCAGCAGUAGGGAAUCUUCCGCAAUGGGCGAAAGCUUGACGGAGCAACGCCGCGUGAGUGAUGAAGGUCUUCGGAUCGUAAAACUCUGUUAUUAGGGAAGAACAAAUGUGUAAGUAACUAUGCACGUCUUGACGGUACCUAAUCAGAAAGCCACGGCUAACUACGUG